CAUCUCUUAAGAGUUUAGAAAAUUAAUCUACAACUUCUUUAGAUUUAAAUGAAUUAAAAGCAAUUUCAAAAAUUAUUACAAUUUUCUUGAAAAAUGUGUUUCAUUCUUAGAAAUUCACAUUUUACAUACAACUAUUUUCAUAGUUCUCUCAAGUUAAUUAAUAAAUCUAACUUGUAUGUUUUGGAUCUUUCCAAACACAUAUUUUGCUUUUUAGCAAAUAUACAUAUCAUUAUAAGAUAUUAUUUUGCCAUCAAAACCAUUAUAUGAUUAUUUUCAACCAUAUUGACUUUAUAAACUACAAUACACUUGUUAUUUUCAGUCAUAUUGGUCUGAAAAUUCUCUGUUUUUGCAUGGUCAAUCUUUUUACAAAUUGCAUUUAAGCAUUGAUGAAAUAUAAAUGUUUUUGAUUAAUAUCAACAAACAUUUUAUUUCCUAUGGCAAAUGAUUUAUAUGUGGUAGACCUCUCCCAAACUUAAUUUGGGGCAUCGACUCACAACCAUUUCCAUCCAUACAACUUGAUCUCUUAAAGAUCAAAAUGUUGUUUUAUAAUUAUGGUAUUACCAUACUUGAAACUUGAAUUUCUUUUUAUUUUCUCAUUGGUCACACAUGUCUUUAAUAAUUAAAUUAAAUUGUUUCAAAAAAUCUGAAACAGAAAUCAAAAACGUUAGCAUCUAUAUAUAUAUAAAAUUGUCUGCCUCUCUCCUAGGCCAUCCAGCUGGAAACUCGCUUUCUGAGGGCUUGACACGUGUCCGCUUUGUCUAAAACGCGCCGUAUCACUUAAAUUUUAAUAGAUCUGUGUUGGGCUUAAGUUUCGUUACUGGGCUUCAGUAUAAUUGCGAGAAAGCGGUCGGAGACAGGAAUUAGGGUCCGACGGUCGUCUUCUCCAAACUCAAAUGACGUUCCUGAUACCUUCAGCAGAGAAACGGAUCUGCCUUUAAUCCCAUUGAUUGGUGCCUCCACGAUGUGUCUUCAAUACGAUCCUUACGCUUCAGAGGCGAAUGGCCGCUCCUCUUCCACCGUUGAAGGCCAGGAAUAUCCGCCGUGGUGGAGAUCUCAUGGGAGUAGACAUACUCCUUCUUGAUUCUCAGGAAUGUGAAGAAAAAUCUGAAACCGAAGAAGAUGAAGAACUGAGACUUAUAAAGAUUGUUUGUAAAAAAAUUGCAAGCAAGAUGGAGUGUGACAGAGCAAGCGGCGGAAGAGAACGACAAACGGCGGAGAGUAACACAGCACUCGGCAGUGAGCAACGCAGCACUCGGCGGAGAGAAACAAAGAAAGCGGCAGAGAGUAACUGAGAAAGUAGUGGAAGAGCAACAGAACAAUGGCGGAGAGCAAUGAACAAGAGGCAUUGAGAUGGAUCAAGUGACGGAAAGAGUGAGAUGGACAGACAUGAAACAAGCGACAGAUAGUGUGACAAGAGAUAGGAAAUGCAAUUGCUGCAGUUCAAUCUGGCACAAGGGAGGUUCAUAGGCUCUCGGACAGGGUCAAUUAAUCACUUUGUUAGCAAACAUAUAAAAAAGGCUUCCACGACAUCAAGGAGAGGGGUGCUUUUCGCGACACGUGGCGUCUCGGUAGGGUAUCCGUGUUUUUCACGCUCUCUCUUCCUUCUUGCUCUCACGCUCUCUCUUCCUCCUCGCGCGUGUCUGCGCGGUUGUUCAACCAAAGAGGUUGGGCUUCUGUCAUUAAUUUAGGCCCAAAUGUCAUUAGGUCUUCUUCUUCGUUGUUCUUCUUCUUCCCUACCUCUUUCACAGAAAGUAACGUCCCAAGGAUUUUUUCUAUGACAUUUAUUCUCAGUUUUUCCAUUUAUUAAUCCACUCCUCAUGUAUUAUGAUUACGAUCUACCUCUUCGUUCACCCUGUAACCGCCUCGACCUCCAUCUAUAAAUACCGGCCCUCACUUCCAUUCACAGCACAUCUCAAACAAUUUUCUCAGACAUACGAUCUCCUAGAAGCAACAUAUUCAGAUGGCGAAUUCGUACACUCUGCUUGCCAAUUUGAGAGCCGGCCGAUGCUCUAAUACUGCUGAGGUCCGCCUACUGAGGUUCUGGGAGGCCAGAAAUAUCAACAAAGGAGGGGAGCUGAUGAGUAUUGAGUUGCUGCUCAUCGAUGAGGCUGUGGACAGAUAGUCUCAUCCCUUCCAAUGCUUUCAGCCCCGAAGAUAUGGCCACAGAAGAACCGUGCGACAUUACGUGCAGAUUUUGUGAUGGGCUUCUUGCUAUUCAAGAUUACCCACAAGGGUUCCCGCGACCAGAGAUAUCAACGGAAACGCAAAGAGUUCUGACAAGAGAGACGAUACAGAGAGCAUUUCAUGCUACAGAAGUAGGGUUAGCUUCUCAUUCUCUAAGCUGUGGAGUACAAUGCGAGUUUGGCAACUGUUGGCACUUGCUCUUUUGUUGGUGUGAUAUAUAAUAUAUCAUAUAUCAGAGUCCUCUUUUCAUGACGAGUCUUUGAGAUUAACGGGUUAUCUUAGGAAAGAACGGGAUCUGGUGGGAUCUCUGCUAUUCAGCUGUCGAGUGAACAUAAUGCUAACAAUGAGGAUGUUCGUUUUGAGCUUAAGGACUUGCAUCCUGAUGACCCGCAGAUCGUUGUGUUUAAGCAUGGAGUUGGCGAGUUAAGGGGAUCAUCCAAGUAGUUUCUCAUUCUCUCCAGCACUUGUAUUCUACUGUCAUAGAAGAAUAGGAUUCAAUGCUUAUGGAAAGAUGAUUCAAUGCCUUUCUCUUGAUACUUGGUUGUGGCUCAAGUUCUUGAUUUUGGUUAUAAUUUUGUUGUGAUGGUGCUUCUGCCUUCUCUGUGCUUUUAUGGACAGAGAUAAAUAAAAUUGUUUCUAUGUCUUUAUGUGGUUUGUCUUUGUUAGAAUUGAAAAUCAUUACAGAGGUUGCCUAUUACUUCGACUAAAAACAACUCUUUUGCAUAAUAUGCAUAUUUGGCGAGUAAUAAGGUAGUUUAUAAUUAGGGUUGCUAAUAAACAGUUGCAGUAAACAAGCUAAACUUACUUCCUGCCUUCUUUAUGAUGUGGAUACGUUAUGAUGUUCCCUUUCCCGUGUAGCUCUAAACUCAUAUGCUUAGUCUUCCUUCCACUUAAAUUUGCAGCCAAACAUCCUUUCACUUAAAGAUCACUCUGAAGCUUCUGAUGGCAUUUACUGUAAGAACUGAGCUCUUUGUUCUUUCUGCGCCUGAUAAGAGUUUUUCCUUGGAUCACUAUGUUAUGUUAUAGAACGUAUUGCCUUUUCCUUUUACCUCUCCACAUACAUAAACAACCGAGAUAAACAGGAAAAUCGGAACGUAAAGAUAUGUUUGCAAGCACCAUUAAAUGCAUGUUGUAAUUGGUGAUAUGGCUUCAAAAGGUUUUAAGAAAAUCCUAAAGUCUUGAUUUUUAUCCAAUUUAUUGAUUUAAAAGUCUUUUAACCCUUUUAAAAACACUCAAAACCACUUUUCCUUUUUUUUUGUUCAGUGAAGGAUGCUUAUUUUUUCUAAAGCCUAUAAAAGCUGGUUUUUAUUUAAAUUUUUUUUCAAAAUCAUUAAAUUUUCUAUAACUUUUAUAAACAAUAGUUCAGUUCAAAAAAAUGUGUUCUCUCUCAAUAUUUGUUUUUAAUUCUUCUUUAAAUUGUUGAGAUGUCUAACGAUGGAAAAGCUCUUAGAAUACCCUUAUCGGAGCAGAAUUUUAAAUAGAGUUCUUAGACAAUUUACGAUAUUAUUUUAAUGCAAAAUUUUUGGAUGAAAAUGAUUUUUUUUUGUCAGAAAUUCAAAUAAUGUAAAUAAUCUUUCCUAGCGAUAAUUGAAUCUUAAUGGAGGAAAAACUGUUAAUUUUAAUGUUAAUUUGUUAUGUAAUUAGUUUUUAUAUAUGAUAAGUUAACCGAAGAAUAACACAUGUAGCUUUUUUAUAAAGUAUAGCACAUGUAGCUAUAGUAUCUGGAAAUACUAAGCUAAGCUUAACCAUUUCAAUAGAAAACUGAACUUCUAUAUUCUACGGUCAAAUAAAAUAUUUAUCCAAUAAAACCAAAACUUACAUAUCUUAAUAUGUUUUAAUCAAUCAAAAUUAAUUUACAAGAAGAUUUCUGAAAAAUCCAAAUAUAUAUCAAAGAACACUUUAAAUCUAUGUAGUGAAGUGUAUAUUAGAAUACCUUACCAUCAAAUAUAUAUAUAAAAUCUAUGUCAUAUUUCAAUACAUUUUAUUAUGUUUAAGUUAUGGAAAAAUAUCAAAGAAAGUCUAUAGAUAAUGAUUUUGAGAUAAUAUAAAAUAUGAACGAUUAAUUUUUUGUAUAAAUUAGCUCUGGUGUGUUUGUUUUUAGGGUUCACUGAAUUUUGAUUUGGACUUCAAUCCUAAUAAACGCUUAGUUAUAAAUUAAAACUAUUACAAAAAAUAUUUAUGUGUUUCAUUUUGAAUAAAUUUGUUGUCUUGGUUCGAACAAGAUGAUCACAAAACAAACAACUACAUUUAUGUGUUUCAUUUUGAAACAUCAUUAAACUAUAUUUACUUUAGUGCAACUAUCAACUAUUUAUUAUAUUUUAUUUCAUUAAUUUAUAAAAUCUAUUUAUACUAUUCAUUUUUGACCUAAGCAACUAUAAAACAAAGUAAUACACUAUUAAUUACCACUAUCAAAUGGAUCACAAACUCAUUAUCCAAUCAUUAGGGAACAAAAUAUACAAACCCGGCGCGUAGCGCCGGAAUACCACUAGUAAUAGAUAUAAAGCGAGGAUGCAAGUAAUGGUUGUUUUUCUACCAUCUGAAUUGAUUACAAUUAAAAUAUUUAUUGUUUUGGAAAUGAACGACAUAAUAAUUGUUGUAUUGCAGCUGAGUUUCAAAAUUAUAGUAGCAAAUAGAGAUUCUAAGAUGUCAUCCCCAUCUGCAGAAACUAAUAAUGUCCAAAACAUCCAAUAAUAGUUUUCUCCAGUUUAAAAAAUAGAGCAUUUACACUGAAAAAAAUGUUCUCUGGAAUAUUGAACUUUUGAGAUUCUAGCGUAAUAUAUGUAUAAUUCAAAAAUAUAUCAUAAGUUAGAUCGUAUGUUAUGUGUGGUCAUGCUAAUUUUGUACUUAUUGACUAUAAAAUGCAUUUUAUUCAUGAAUGGUUAACGUUAACAACUGUAUUUGGGACAUGAAAAAAAAUACAAUAGUGUUGUACUUAAUAGAAAACGACAAUAAUUUCACAAAUAAUCCAUUUAUAAUUAAGCAUGAAAAACAGAUUUUGAACAAAAAAAUUAUUUGAUCAUGUAAACUGACGAAUUUGAUCACAACUAAAUGCAAAACAAAUACACAAAGUAAAUGCAUUAAAAGCUUUUUUAAAAUAAAGCCACAAGAACAAACGCUCCACACUUGCUAAUAUAUGCAAGAUCAAACGCUUGAAUUUUGAUAAAAAUCAGUCGUAUAAGCAUGGCUAAACCAAAAGUAAAGCAAAAUUAGAUCAUACAAGUCACACUUUUGUUUCAAAAUAAUUUUAAAAAUCAAGCGAAAGUGCAACACGACGGUUUCAACACGUCAAAAGACAAAUCAAAUCAAAUCAAAUUGUUUUUUUUUUCCAGAAAAUCUGUAACUAAUGAUCAACGCUUGAUGAUAAAGAAGAUUCACAGAAAAACAAUAGCUAAGAUUAUUACAAAAGAUCCCUGCGCAUGAUCGAUCUGAAAAGAUCAUAACAAUUGCUUUUUCAUCACCAUGAAUUCUCGAAUUCCUGUUUUUAUGAUAAACAAGAUCAGAUUCCGGCAUCUUUAACCUGUUCUUAAAAAUAAAAUUUUUUUUUUAACAAAUAUCAGUAUUGUUAGUGCAAAAGCAUAAACAAUAUUUAAAGAUUUAAGAGAUUUAAGAGUGUAGGAACCUUAUUUUACUACCAUAGGACAACUGAUAUUUGUAAAAAAUAAUAAGAACAUAAACUAAAAUUUCAGUACCAAAAUAUAAAAAUAAAGAAGAAUUGCAGAGUUGAGAUAGUUAAUCUCUUUCCUUAAAUCUUUAAACGCCUCAUAGUGUGACGGUUUUAUGGCGCUCAGAUUCCCAAGAUACAACUGCAGCAUUGUUUCUGUUUACCAUCACCGAAAAACAGAAUCUAUCGAACCUAUUUUUCUGAUGUACUCUCAGACUCAAAAUAAAAAAAUACUAGCAUAACUAUUCUGAGUUGAAGAAAUGUUUCUUGAUUGUAUGAAUGUGUUUUUGUUUUCUAAAUGGCUCACAAGCCUUUAUAUAGAAAUAUAAUGAGAAGCACAAGUUUCAUUUUUCAACACAAAAAUGAAACUUCCAUGGUGCACUAAUGGAGUUUUUAAUUCUUGUCAUUAUUAUGUAAAUUUAUUCUACAUUUUGACCAAGAAAUUAAAAAAUAAAAUUAUUAUUGUUUUGACCAAUUCAAACAAAAUAAUAUACUUUAAAAUGGAUUUCUUUUUUUAUAUUUUAUCAAUAUAAAAGAUCAACAUAUAUUUGGUUUAUAAGAUUAAGUCAAUGAACAUGAAGUCCAACUAACAAAUCAAAAAACCCAAAUCCAAGUUCAAAUAUCCAAUGUGUGUAUUUGCUACUUUAUAUAAGUUUCUCAAAUCACACACAUUAGACCUCCAUUUCUCAUUCAAAUAAAACUUCUUUUUUGACAUAUGAAUACAUUAUUCAUAAUGUUCAAAAAAUAGUUCCAACAUUCAAUGUCUUAAAAUAGAGAUGUUUCGUAUACCUUUUAUGCUGUAUAUAAAAACCAUAACAAUAUUCAACCAAAUAAAAAUGAUUUGCAUCUAAGAAAAGUGUACGCAAUGAUUUACGUGAAAAAUGUUCGUCCAGAAAAAUGUAUCCAAUGAAUUCUUUAAAAGCAAUGUAUUUUAUUGCAUUAAAGUCAUAAUUUUGGUGAGAAACGUUAUCUGCAUGACAUCUAAGGUAAGUGUCUUGCAAUAAACCUUGUCAAUAAACCUUUUACGUAAGAAAAGUGUUUCUCCUUUAAUAUCUAGGGGAUAACACAACUAUAUUGUUGAGGUAAAAAACGGUAAUCUCAAAAUCAAAGUUCAAGUUUGCUACUCUUAAGAAACUUUCUCAAAAUAACUUUGGAAAAAUCAUAAGUAGAAAAUUACGAAACAACCGGAUCGCUCCAUCUCUGGAUCGCCAGCAGGCGACCGCGAUCUCUCCCUCCGGGUGGCCAGCAGGCGAUCGAGGCCUGCUCGAUCCGGGACGCCAGCGGGCGACGGGGGGCAACUCCCUCUGGGUCGCCAGCAGGCGAUCGAGGCCUGUACUAUCCAGACCGCUAGCGGGCGACCGGCUCGUCUUGCUCUGGGCCGCCAGCAGGCGACUGAGGACAGUUCGCUCUGGGUCGCCAGCGGGCGACCGAGGCUUGUGAUAUCCAGGUCGCCAGCGUGCGACCGAGGCUUGUGACGUCCAGGUCACCAGCAUGCGACCGGUUCACUAGCAGGCGACAUCAUGCACCUGCUCUCGUCUCGCUCUCAUAGGUCUCUUCUUUGAACCUUGACCAAAUUGUCUCUUGUUUCGUUUCGAUUGGAAUUACUGUUAAAACUUUACGAUAAAAUAGCAAACACUUGCUUUCUCGUAAAAUUUUCAAAUUAAUCGUAUAAAAUGAUAACGGUUAACUUAAGAAAAAAUGAUUGUUGGCCACAUGUAGUAUUGGCCAUCACAUGGUUAACCAUGCAAACUAAACUAAUGUAUACCUAGUCACACGAAUUAUAUGUUAUGCAUGACAAUAUCCCUCAACUUUAUGAUGUUAUGUAGUUAACAUCCCGAGUUUAAUUUCAUUUAUCCAAAUUAAAACUGAUGUGGAUGUUAGAGAUCGUUUAAAUAUCUUGUUUCAACAAUUAAAAUAUGAUCGACCCGACUAUAAUUUAAUUACAAUUAGAUUUUGACCCACAUUUUAAAAGCGUAAGAAUAUUUUUAACAAAAUCUAAUUUACAAAAUCAAUAUUUUUAAUAUAUUUUUAUAAGUAGUGUUUUAACAUUUUUAUUUUAGUGUAUUUAAAAACUAUAUAAUUGUAUAUUUUUUAUAUUAAUCUGUUUUGUUAUGAACUUUUGAUAAGCAAUGUUUUAACAUUUUUAAUUUUGUGUUUUAACAUUUUUAUUUUAGUGUAUUUUAAAACUAUAUAAUUGUAUUGUUUUUAUAUUUAUUAAUCUGUUUUUUUUUUAAUUAUAUUAAUAUUUUUGUUAUGAACUUUUAAUAGAAAAAUUGUAAUUCGUUUGAUUAAUUGUGUGUAUAUACUUCUUUGAUAUGAAACUUAUUUUCUGUCGGUUUAUUUUCUGUCAAUUUAAACUAAACAUAAUCUUGCAUAUAUAUACUUUAAGAAUAAAAUAAUCAAAGAAUAAGAAUCUAAUGUGAAAGUCUUAUUAAGUUUAAAUGAAUGAAACUUUUGUUUAUGAAAAAUAUAUAAAAUAAUUCAUUAACUUAAUAGUUUCAUAUUAAAAAAAUUAAAUAUUAGAGUCAAUAAAUUGACAUCAAAGAAGUUUUAUAAUGAUCAUUUUUUUAUCAAAUAAGUAUAUAUCACACAGUUAAUCAAACGAAUUACAGAAAUUUUAUUAAAAGUUCAUACCAAAACAGAUUUAAAGAAUUAAAAAACUAAAUUAAAUAAUAUCUUAUAUAAUUUUCAUAAUUAAUAAAAAUAAAAAUAAUAUAAUUAUAUUGUUUUCAAAUACACUAAAUAAAAAUGUUAAAACACUACUUACCAAAUUUUAUAGAACAUAUUGAUUUUGUAAAUUAGAUUUUGUUAAAAAAUAUAUUUACGCUUUUAAAACGGUUCAAAAUCUAAUUUAGGUAAAUUACUGUCAGGUACGUAACAUUUCAAUUGAUGAAACGAGAGAUUUAAACGGUCUCCGACAUACACAUCAUUUUUUGGAUGAAUGAAAUUAAACUCUGUGUUGUUAACUACAUAACAUCAUAACGUUGAGAUAUGUUGUCAUGCAUAAUAUAUACUUCAUGUAGAUAAGUAUACAUUUAUUUAGUUUGCAUGGUUAGCCAUGUGAUGGCCACUACUUCAUGUAGUCAGCAGUCACUUUUCCUUAACUGAACACCAUCACUAUCUCGACAAUACGACUGAUUUUUAUCAUCCCAUAGAACCAACAUCGUACCGAAGGUGAUUUCUCUGAAAGAAGUAGUAAAAACACUGAAGUCGAAAAAAGGUCCAAGAAGAUCUAAAACGCGCCCGAAGCCCAUUUACGAUUUUAAACGAGAAUGAGUCCAAACUACAGCGACGGUCUAUAUAAUAAAAAGAUAAAUAUAAAGUUUCUACGAUAAGCAUGUAGAUCGAGAGGUUAAGAAAAACUUCCGCAAAGAGAUAAAUUCAAAUCAAGGACAGAAAAGGCAAGGGUGCACCGACCUUGGAGACAUAUAUAAGGAGAGCUAUGGCAAGGAGUGUGGGGGCCGAAAAAAUUAGACCUUAGGAAAUUUUUGUUAGUUCUAGGAGAACUUAGGAUUUAGGUGGUUAAACUAGCAAGUUUCAUAAUUAGAAUGUUUUACUGCUUGCUCUUUUGUUCUCCAUUGAUAACGGAUCUCCGAUCAUCUUGUUUUUCGGUGAAACUCUGUAAACUCUAUUCAUCUUAAUUUAUAAAACGCCUAUGAGAAACUUUUACGAUAAUUUGUUAUCUCUAUUUUUUUCGUAUUUGUGUGUUUACGCAGAGAAUCCAGGUCUUCAUGGAAACUCAAGAAACUUGUCUUUCCUCCAUUAACUAAAAUCGACCGUGCAGAUUUUGUUUUCUACAACUAUUUUACAUAUACAUAACUAAACAUUUUUUAUGUGAAAACUUCAUAUUUGUUUUUACAAUAAAUGAAUGUUGAGAGAGAAAAUCUUCAUAUCUAUACUAUAUUAAAAGGGAUAUAUGAGCUCCAUUGAGCCUAUCCACCUCAGCAUAAAAAAUCAUCCAAUUAAAACAUAAGUAAUUGACACAUCAGAUGACACAUCCUAUUUUCUUCAAUCGACGACCUUUCUUCCAAAAAGUUAUUGUUUCCCUUUUGUAUUCCCUUCUGAACCCUUCUUCCAACUUCAAUUAUAUCCCAGCUCCAAUCAAUCGAUUCCUCGCCUGCCUCAUCUUCAUCCUCCAAUGGCAUGGGUUGAUUGCUCGAACCUAGCUCGAAGCUCUUCCCCUUCUUUUCCUUACUACCGUGAUUGGAACUUCGGUGUUGAUUCCAAUCAAAAGCCUAAGGUAAUGUAAAGUCCUCUGCUUUCAAGUGUUUCGAGAAUGGGUUCUUUGCCAAGAGAUUGUUGAUUUGAUCAGAUCUGUCUUUGGGGGUUUUGUAAAGUUCUCGCCUUUAUGAUUCGGGCAUUGCUAUGUGUACCUCAAGUAUUGUAAUCAAAGAGAUUGAUGAUUUGAAUUGAUUUGAUCAGAUCUGUCUCUGGGAUUUGUAAAGUUGGUAACUUUAUGAUUUGGGCAAUUUACAGAUAUGUAUCACGACUAGCACAUCAGCUGGAUUGGAUCAGAUUCUACAGUGGAUGUUCUACCAUAAGGUUCUUGGCGUAUCCACGUUUUUUCUUUUUGUAUAAGAGAAAGCUGCUACGCCCACCAUUUCUAAAGUUCUCGAGUUUAUUCCUUAGGCUUAGAAGAAGCACAAAAAUGAUGGUGUAAAACCGAAGAGACCAUAAAAAAAAGGAGGAGGAAGAUAGAAAAAAGACAUGGAGAAGUCAAAGAAAGGAUAAAAGUCUAUAGUGCAUGGAGUUAAGUUAGAUGAUGUUGCUCGGUUACUGAAUCGUGCUCGCAACUACUCAGCUGUGUGCUUACAUGGCUUAUAUCAGCCGAGAAUAUAAGAAAAGGUAAUACGUUUUAUUUCUUCUUUGAAGUGCAUGUCUCUCUAUCUUUAUUAGUUAAGUAGAUACUCAUAAGCAAGAAAAACGUAUAUUGAGUUUUCUGGUCCUUCCCGAAAAGUAUGGAGAAUGAGAUGUUAGGUGAAGCUUUUAAGAAGCUUCAGAACCCAUAUGAGAUAGUGAUUGUGGUUCAUCAUUUGUAUCGGCGCAUCAAGUUCAUCCAUCUCUGAUCUCCCUAGCUGUUUCUAUUGGGGGUAAGUCUUGAUAUUUGUUUGUUUUUUUCCAUUCACAAGAGAAUAGUUGAGUUUGCGAAGUGAUCCUUUUGAUGAUUGCACUCAGAAGGACUUAAACAAGCCACUGAUUAUUGCAGCCAAAACCAACAUGGAGGUGUUGUUAGAGGUGGUUGAGGAAGAGGCCAAGCUGGUGGUGGCAAAGCCGCAAAGACAAUAAAGGUGGCCUAGCUAAAUAUUGUCGUGCCUAAAAUUGAGAUUGAAAAAUGGAAUAAAAAGCUCUAACAUGGUAUUUGGAAGAACGUGUAGAUAACAAAAACUGAAGGUUUUCUACAUUUGUGGAUCAUCGGGUGAACACGCUCCUGUCUCUAGGAGCAUCCGGAGCUAAAUCCUUUGUUGCUCAGAUUUGUGCAAUGAUCUUUUUUGUAAUUCAGUGGCUACAUGAGAGUUGUUUCUGAUUGACUCAGAGUUUAGAGUCUACAACGAGUGUACGGUAGGAGACGGUAAUGAUGAUAGCGGUGAAUGACUGACUCAUCACACGAUCGGGAAGAAGUAUAAGCUGAAGGCGAACGGUGAAGACGGACCAGUUAUUUUCUUAUGCAAGGAAGACAGGAAUGAUUCCAUCUCCAUCAGUAACUUAACUCUCUUCACACUCAAGAUGGUGUGGUUACAGUUCUCUGUUCUCUCGACUCUUGAGUUGUUAGUUGUUUAUCUAAUGGUAAGAUAUUUUCUCUGUAUGUAAACUUGAUCGUCCACGAAUUAACCCUCAUGUAUUUUGGUUUCUAUUUGUCAGAACAGAGUAUGUCGAUGAUUUUAGCCCAUAAAAGUUGUCAGUAAAUUGACUUGA
Molecule: RNA transcript, 11758 nt
Organism: Brassica rapa (field mustard)
Lineage: Eukaryota; Viridiplantae; Streptophyta; Magnoliopsida; Brassicales; Brassicaceae
Source: RefSeq, a predicted model, not a curated record